RNAcentral lists this ribosomal RNA (312 nucleotides) under Triticum aestivum (bread wheat). Its description in RNAcentral is "partial small subunit ribosomal RNA". Lineage: Eukaryota; Viridiplantae; Streptophyta; Magnoliopsida; Poales; Poaceae. The record is from RNAcentral.
AUGAAUAUCAAGAGUUGUGGAGCUGUUGUGAGCUUGAGAAAGUGGUCGGAGUCUAUGGGUGCCAAGGGUGUACUUAACAUUGCUUGGGUCAAUGUUAGCAACAUUCCUUUGGAUAAGGGACAUGAGAAGAACAUCGCUUAUGUGGGCUCUUUGGUUGGGGUGACCCUAGAAAUUGAUCAAUCCACUGUUAGCAGACCUGAAUCUGUUAGAAUUAAGCUGGGAUGUAGAGAUGCUGAGAAUAUUCCUGCUAAGGCUGAGGGGGUAUUGGGUGGUCAUUUUUAUGACUUUUUUACUCUGUGGAUAAGAUCUUAG